UCCGGACAUCCAAAAUUCGAUUUGAUCUUCGUGAUCAUUCUUGCUUCUCGAUUUGCCUCCCCGGCAACGGCACCAAAAUUUUGUUGUCCGAUUUCUGUUUACCUAAAAAUAAGCUAAACAGAUCGUUGUUAGAACCGACAAACAAAGUUUAAUUUAAUUAUACUCUUACCUUUUCUACUCGAAGAAUAGUGGUCGUAAGAGGUCGAUCCACAGGGAGGCGACUGGAGUUGCAUAAAAAUCAAAACAUUCAUUCGGAUUCAAAAUCGAUUUUUGAAUAACAAAAGAAAAACAUUAUGUCGGGGAUGUUGAAUGAUUCUCUG
Molecule: long non-coding RNA, 320 nt
Filed under: Phoenix dactylifera (date palm)
Lineage: Eukaryota; Viridiplantae; Streptophyta; Magnoliopsida; Arecales; Arecaceae
Description: long non-coding RNA (PDAC_LNC005099)
Source: RNAcentral